CAGUCGCCGCGGUAAUGCAGAGGUCUCAAGCGUUGUUCGGAUUCAUUGGGCGUAAAGGGUGCGUAGGUGGCUUGGUAAGUUGAAGGUGAAAUCUCGGGGCUUAACUCCGAAACUGCCUUCAAUACUGCUGAGCUCGAGGAUUGUAGAGGAGAAUGGAAUUCACGGUGUAGCAGUGAAAUGCGUAGAGAUGUGGAGGAACACCAGUGGCGAAGGCGACUCUCUGGUCUGUAACUGACGCUGAGGAGCGAAAGCGUGGGGAGCGAACAGGAUUAGAUACCCCGGUAGUCCCUGUCUCUUAUAC
This 301-nucleotide ribosomal RNA is filed under the name uncultured bacterium. RNAcentral's name for it is "partial 16S ribosomal RNA". It matches the Rfam family "Bacterial small subunit ribosomal RNA", at positions 509 to 807 of the family's 1533-position model. The record is from RNAcentral.